GAUGAACGCUGGCGGCGUGCCUAAUACAUGCAAGUCGAGCGAACAGACGAGGAGCUUGCUCCUCUGACGUUAGCGGCGGAAGGGUGAGUAACACGUGGAUAACCUACCUAUAAGACUGGGAUAAAUUCGGGAAACCGGAGCUAAUACCGGAUAAUAUAUUGAACCGCAUGGUUCAAUAGUGAAAGACGGUUUUGCUGUCACUUAUAGAUGGAUCCGCGCCGCAUUAGCUAGUUGGUAAGGUAACGGCUUACCAAGGCAACGAUGCGUAGCCGACCUGAGAGGGUGAUCGGCCACACUGGAACUGAGACACGGUCCAGACUCCUACGGGAGGCAGCAGUAGGGAAUCUUCCGCAAUGGGCGAAAGCUUGACGGAGCAACGCCGCGUGAGUGAUGAAGGUCUUCGGAUCGUAAAACUCUGUUAUUAGGGAAGAACAAAUGUGUAAGUAACUAUGCACGUCUUGACGGUACCUAAUCAGAAAGCCACGGCUAACUACGUG
RNAcentral lists this ribosomal RNA (497 nucleotides) under uncultured bacterium. Its description in RNAcentral is "partial 16S ribosomal RNA". It matches the Rfam family "Bacterial small subunit ribosomal RNA", at positions 28 to 507 of the family's 1533-position model. The record is from RNAcentral.